Capsicum annuum is the source of this 1944-nucleotide long non-coding RNA. RefSeq lists it as uncharacterized. The record is from RefSeq and is a predicted model, not a curated record. NCBI's taxonomy places the organism in Eukaryota, Viridiplantae, Streptophyta, Magnoliopsida, Solanales, Solanaceae. The transcript has 4 exons.
CCAAUAAACAAAUUUUUAUUACCAAAGUGAAUGUUGGAGAACAAACACGUGAAACUAAUCACUGGACAGUGAGGCCAGUGCUUCAGCAUCUACUCAACUUACCUAUCCUCAUAGCAACAAAGUUUAACAGAGCUCACUUAGUACAAUUACAAAGUACCUUCAUUGUUUUCUAAGUAGGAUAAAAACUACGAGCCUCUAGCCAUCGAGCUACCUUAGAAUGGGAUCGACCUCUUCCAUGAACCUCCUGGAUGAUCACCCGUGUAAUCUGAUCCACUGAUUUUUGUUGGUGUUGAAAAAUCCUCAGAUUUCUUUCCUUCCACAACUGGUAGACAGUAGCAGCAAGUACCAACAUGUAAGCUUCAGCUUGGCUACUUUUAUCAUUGGCAUAUGCAAUAGCCCAUGAUAUUUCAGUUCUCCAUUCUGCAGUAAGAUCGAGAGUAUCCAAAAGGAUUGAGAGUUGUAGAGCAAGGAACUGAAGUAGUAGUAUCCGCGAUUGUUGUCACAUUGAGCCGACUGCCAGUGGAGGUUGUGAAAUAACAGCUGGCUUUGGGGCAGGCUCGUUACUUAGAGUCUUUUCCACAUUGCAAGUAGUCUGAGAAUUGUUAGCAGGCUCUCCACUUCCAAAUAGUUAGUAAGAAUUAAGCAGACAUCAACUCUGUCAUGCCUAGUUUUGUAUCGAUGCAACUCUUUCAUGCCGAGUUUGCUUGCUGCAACCUACUAAUACCCACGUAAUCCAUGAGUAACAGAUAAGUAGUCUUUCACUGCCGCAGUUUUUCAUCUUCUUUCAUUAGCUUCAUCCAUUUUUCUUUGUUUGUGUUGGGAAAUCUUACUUUUUAAAAGAACUUCAGUAUUUGUUUAAAGCGUGGAGCAACUUCCAUGGUGCCUUCUAAAAGCUAAUAUGUCUCCACCCUUUCAUUUUAUGCUAAUAAGUUGUGCUAAAUUAUGUCUGUUCCUCUGAAAAUCAGUAGGCUCGUCUGAUUACAUGUCAAAUGUUAAGUAACCAUUUGUUUUUUGGUCCAGUUUAUCUCGAUUAGUUAUAGUAUUGAGUGCUUUUUCUGAUAAGGGGCUUAGUUGUCUUGUCCGAGAACAUUAGCAGUGGCUACUUAAAUGAGUUAUAAGCUAAUAACUUAGAAGGUUCUGAGGGUGCCAUAGGACAUUUUGGGGUAUGGAUUGCUGAGAUAAUCUACUUCCAUUAUUAGUAUGCACACUGACUCUCUUAACAAAUGAAAAACUAUGUAUGAUUUAAUGAUACAUCAAGAUUUAGAUAUAUCUGUAUGAUUACUGUGAUCAAUCUCCGCCGAGUGCUUAAAUUAUUUUAUCUGUCCUGGUAUCUAGUGCUAAAAUAGGUACAAGACUGCAUUAUUUGUGUCCUCAGCUUUUUCAAGCUCUUGGUCUUCCUCCUUCUGUUGGGGUACUUUGUGAUUAUUGUCAUUUGAGGCUAUGUUGCUCGGACUACUAAAAAAUUUCAUUGGUGCAUGCCGAAUCCUUCAAAAUUAGUGUAUUUUGGGAGGAUUCGACAGGGUGUGAUCAUUUAUUCAAUAUUUCUUGCAAGAAAUAAAUAUUUUAGUGGUUCCAUCGUUACUUCUCUUCUACUAUUUUGACUAGCUCUUUUUUUCUUUUCAGACUAACCUUCUGCAUUGAUUCAAUUUGGAUGGAGUGUAAUGAAAGCUUCUCCAACAGGGGAAAAAAGCAUUGAAGUUGAUCUGAGAUAUUAAUCAUUCAAAAUUGUGUACUAAGCAUGUUUUCCUCCCAGAUUACCUAAUAGAGGAGAAGAGCUUAGCUCUCUAUCUUUAGCCUUAGCUUCUUGAUGUAUGAAUAGUUUUUUUGUUUGAUCACUAAACUUGGAAUUAUGCGUAGGUUUCAGUUUUAGUUUUAAGUCUUGUGUGUGUAACCUAUUGAUAAAUAAUACAUGUUUAGUUACAAAAAAAAUCUAUUACAAAUCUA